GCUGGGUGCGGUGGUGCAUGCCUGUAAUCCCAGCAGCUCAGGAGGUUGAGGCAGGAGGAUCAUGAGUUCAAUGCCAGCCUUAGCAAAAACGAGGUACUAAGCAACUCAUGAGACCCUGUCUCUA
RNAcentral lists this small RNA (124 nucleotides) under Marmota monax (woodchuck). Lineage: Eukaryota; Metazoa; Chordata; Mammalia; Rodentia; Sciuridae. The record is from RNAcentral.